RNAcentral lists this ribosomal RNA (253 nucleotides) under uncultured bacterium. RNAcentral's name for it is "partial 16S ribosomal RNA". It matches the Rfam family "Bacterial small subunit ribosomal RNA", at positions 524 to 776 of the family's 1533-position model. The record is from RNAcentral.
UACGUAGGGUGCGAGCGUUAAUCGGAAUUACUGGGCGUAAAGCGUGCGCAGGCGGUUCGCUAAGACCGAUGUGAAAUCCCCGGGCUUAACCUGGGAACUGCAUUGGUGACUGGCGGGCUAGAGUAUGGCAGAGGGGGGUAGAAUUCCACGUGUAGCAGUGAAAUGCGUAGAGAUGUGGAGGAAUACCGAUGGCGAAGGCAGCCCCCUGGGACAAUACCGACGCUCAUGCACGAAAGCGUGGGGAGCAAACAGG